Molecule: small nucleolar RNA, 277 nt
Organism: Phyllostomus discolor (pale spear-nosed bat)
Lineage: Eukaryota; Metazoa; Chordata; Mammalia; Chiroptera; Phyllostomidae
Source: RefSeq, a predicted model, not a curated record
GAUUAGAGGAGAAAAUAAUUUUGUAAACAUUCUUACAUGCAAGUUGGGGAAGGAUGAUUUGGAAAUACCAUUCUCAAUUUAAAGAAUGUGUGCUACAUACAGAGGAUUUUAAAGCUGAGCUUGGAUUCUGUCCAGUUGCCAGGAAGAAAUUGUGGUAACUGGAGUGAGAGAGUAGGGACAAGACAUGUUCAUGGAAUCAGAGUCAGAGGUCCCAAAGGACUUAGUUGUACUAUGGCCACUGAGAGAUGAAACACAGAUCUUUGGUAAUCUGAUGGCU